Molecule: long non-coding RNA, 2674 nt
Organism: Homo sapiens (human)
Lineage: Eukaryota; Metazoa; Chordata; Mammalia; Primates; Hominidae
Source: Ensembl
GGGGCGUGCGCCGCGGGACUCGAGUCGGGCGUAUCUCUCCGCGUGGCCGACGCGGGCGUGCGUAGUACCCUUCGCCGCCCGUCGCCCUUGCGGCCACUGCUACGCUUCUCUUCUCUGCCUUUUUUGGAGAAAACGCUGUCGCGUGCGUCGUCCAGAGGCUCUCCCCCAGGAGGCAGGCGAAAGAGCGGGGCCCUCCUGGGCUGGAGGAGUCUCGGGUGAUGAAAGGCCCGCGUGUUUCAGGCUGACGUCGUGAGAUGCGUCGUCCCCGCGUCGCGACAUCCCUGGGACCGGGAGGCCCCGUUCAAUUGGCAGCUUUUUCUCCUUCCAGGGAACCGAUGACCCUAGGUUGGCUGACAUCAGUCGCUAGACCCGCAGCCCGCAGGCCCCGUUAGUCCCUGAACUGGCUUUCAUGGCCCAAGGUGUCUGUCAGUACUGCUGGGAAAGCUGCCUGUCCUGGACAUUUGCCAUCUGCUGCACCCAGUCCCGAGACCCCAACUCGGUCAUCCGAAGAAGCCACAUCUCUGGACAGCCCAGGAUCACCAGACACCUGAGAAAGAAGAAAAGGGACUCAGAAGAAACAGAGACGAUAAAGGAAGCCGAAGAAAAAUGAAAACUAAAAUGCCAUUCUCAGUCAAUAAAAAGGAACUGGGGGCUAUAGAGAAAGAAACCUCGGGAUGAGAAAGAGCUCUUAGAAAUAAAACAUGAGGGGAAAGUGAGCAAUUCAAUAGGCUUUUAAGAUGAAGUCUUCCAGAAUGUAUAAUGACAGAACCAGAUAGCUGGAAAACAGAAUAGCAGUAACACAGGUGGGUGCUCUUAGGGCUAGCCUGGCACACAAGGCCUCCACAAUGGAGGGGGUGGAUGGGAGGUGGGGGGCUGGUCUGCCACCACCACCAGGGGAAGCCACAGGCACCACCCUCUGGGGACAGCUUCCCUUGGCAAUAAUGUGCACGCAGGAUGCAUGGUGCCCAGGACUGUUCUUACACACAUUCAUUCAUGGGAUCCUCACAACCCAGUGCUAUGCAAUGGAUACAGCUGUUACCCCAUUUUUACUGAUGGGCAACAUCACAAGGCAGGGAGCAGCAGUAGAAUGGCUCCAGAGCCUGUGUUCUUGCCACCACCAUGACUGCAUCUCAAAAGAGAAGUCCAGGUCAGGCACAGUGGCUCAUGCCUGCCUUCCCAGCACUUCAGGAGGCUGAGGCAGGAGUAUCACUUGGGCCCAGGGGUUCAAGACCAGCUUGGGCAAUAUAGUGAGGCCACGUCUCUACAAAAAGUAAUUUUAAAAAACCAGCUGGGCAUGGUGGCACACGCCUGUAGUCCUAGCUACUAGAGAGGCUAAGGUGGGAGGAUUGCUGGAGCCCAGAAGGUGGAGGUUGCAGUGCCCUGUGAUCACACCACUGCACUCCAGCCUGGGUGACAGAGCCAGACCCUGUCUCAAAAAAACAACAAAAACUCAACAGAAGUCCAACAUCUAAAUAAAUUGUCCAGAAAAUAAGGAAAUGAGAGAAAUCAGCAGAGAUAAAUCAAGAAAAUUUCCUAGAACCAAACAGUCAUGUUUUCUGAACAAUGGGUGAAAGGGAAGUUGUAUAUCAAGACACAUCAUUGAGAAUUACCCAAGUAAUGGGGCAAAGAAAAAGAAGAGAUCAUAGGUAAAGAGUCAGAAUUCAGGAAGGCACAAGAGUUCUUGGAACUAGAAGAAAAUGACACAAUACCCUUGAAAUCCUGGGAAUAAAUGAUUUUCAACCAAGCCAAGCUUUUUGUAGCUAGUCGCACUGUUAAGCAUAUGUGAGGUUAGCAUAAAGACUGUGGGGAAAAGCAAGAGAGAUCAGAUUGUUACUGUGUCUGUGUAGAAAGUAGUAGACAUAGGAGACUCCAUUUUGUUUUGUACUAAGGAAAAUUCUUCUGCCUUGAGACUCUGUUAAUCUAUGACCUUACCCCCAACCCCGUGCUCUCUGAAACAUGUGCUGUGUCAACUCAGAGUUGAAUGGAUUAAGGGCGGUGCAAGAUGUGCUUUGUUAAACAGAUGCUUGAAGGCAGCAUGCUCCUUAAGAGUCAUCACCACUCCCUAAUCUCAAGUACCCAGGGACACAAAAACUGCGGAAGGCCGCAGGGACCUCUGCCUAGGAAAGCCAGGUAUUGUCCAAGGUUUCUCCCCAUGUGAUAGUCUGAAAUAUGGCCUCGUGGGAUGGGAAAGACCUGACCGUCCCCCAGCCCGACACCCGUAAAGGGUCUGUGCUGAGGAGGAUUAGUAAAAGAGGAAGGAAUGCCUCUUGCAGUUGAGACAAGAGGAAGGCAUCUGUCUCCUGCCCGUCCCUGGGCAAUGGAAUGUCUCCAUAUAAAACCUGAUUGCAUGCUCCAUCUACUGAGAUAGGGAAAAACCGCCUUAGGGCUGGAGGUGGGACCUGCGGGCAGCAAUACUGCUUUGUAAAGCAUUGAGAUGUUUAUGUGUAUGCAUAUCUAAAAGCACAGCACUUAAUCGUUUACAUUGUCUAUGAUGCAAAGACCUUUGUUCACGUGUUUGUCUGCUGACCCUCUCCCCACUAUUGUCUUGUGACCCUGACACAUCCCCCUCUUCGAGAAACACCCACAAAUGAUCAAUAAAUACUAAGGGAACUCAGAGGCUGGCGGGAUCCUCCAUAUGCUGAACGCUGGUUCCCCGGGUCCCCUUAUUUCUUUC